UCCGGUUUGUCACCGGCAGUCUCAUUAGAGUGCCCAACUAAAUGUAGCAACUAAUGACAAGGGUUGCGCUCGUUGCGGGACUUAACCCAACAUCUCACGACACGAGCUGACGACAGCCAUGCAGCACCUGUGUUACCGCUCCCUUUCGGGCACUCCCGCAUCUCUGCAGGAUUCGGUACAUGUCAAGGGUAGGUAAGGUUUUUCGCGUUGCAUCGAAUUAAUCCACAUCAUCCACCGCUUGUGCGGGUCCCCGUCAAUUCCUUUGAGUUUUAAUCUUGCGACCGUACUCCCCAGGCGGGCAACUUCACGCGUUAGCUGCGGUACCAAAGAAUUGCUUCCCCAACACCUAGUUGCCAUCGUUUAGAGCGUGGACUAC
RNAcentral lists this unclassified non-coding RNA (376 nucleotides) under uncultured Gammaproteobacteria bacterium. RNAcentral's name for it is "contains 16S-23S intergenic spacer region". The record is from RNAcentral. Lineage: Bacteria; Pseudomonadati; Pseudomonadota; Gammaproteobacteria.